UGGAAUCGGAUUAUCUGAUUUAUAUUUUCUUAUUUACAUUUCAGCAAGAAGAAUCUGAGGUUGGUGUACUUGGAGGAAAUGGUCAGCUAUUGACCCUUGGGUUGGGUCUGUUGUUCACAGCAUUAGCUGCAGCGUAUGUGACACGGCUUGCGAAGGAUGCUGUGAAGGAUAUUGAGUAGAUACUAAGCACUUAUAACUGUAAAUGGAAGGGGAAAGGUUUCGGGCAACAUGUUCUAGACUGCAAAGUGGAUAGCAAUAUAAUUUAAAUUGCAAAGUCUACGGAUGCCUAAUGUGUGGGUAAUUUGGAAUGUGUAUAAUUCAACACUCCCAGAAAUGGGAAAAUUUUGAUGUAUUCUUUUGUUAUGCAAGGGAGGUGCCACAUAAUUGUUAGUUAAUUCUAACUGAACAGUUCUAAUCUUUACUCAAUGCCUCCUAUUAGAUGGCAAAAUGGUUUAUAUAGAGUUUAGAUCUGUCUGA
Molecule: non-coding RNA, 477 nt
Organism: Carica papaya (papaya)
Lineage: Eukaryota; Viridiplantae; Streptophyta; Magnoliopsida; Brassicales; Caricaceae
Source: RefSeq, a predicted model, not a curated record